GAGUAACACAACUUUAGAUAUGAAAUAGACAAGCAAACACGCUAAAAAUUGCCUAUUUAUCAAAAAAUAAAAACAUGAUAAAAACAAUACACAACUAGCAUGUUCAAUAUUUUUUUUAGCUAGAGAGUGUCAUCAAAAGACUAAAACAACUGGAAUCACAACUUUUGGACUUCUAUAACUCAAUAUAUGCAUCUAACAACUUAAAAGGAUUUCUAAAAGCACUUUGAAAGAAUAAAUAAAAACAUCAGAAACUUUAUACUAAAACAUAUCAUAUUAUGAAUCUACUGUGUAAUUCUUCUCACAAGGAUUCGAAAACAUCUUCAUUUGCUAUUUUAUUAUUUUUCUACAAUUUACCACGAAUUUUUAAAGUUUCAGCCUUUUUAUAUCUAGAAAAUAAACAAAACCGAGACGAUCUUACGAUCUACCCCCUGGGUCUACGGGUUAAUUGCGCAAACGUCCCUGAAACUUCCCCAUAACCCCCUACCUUUCCUCUUUCUUCUCCACUCAACUCCCUCAUGCACAGACAGAGGCACGCACGGUUCACAGGCAAGGUGCAUGGCACUUAGGCCGGCCAGAAUCAGGGGGAAAGGUAGGGGCACGGCUUGGGGAGGGAGAGGGGUGGCACCUUGGGCCAGGCGACUCACCAACAGAGGAGGAGGCAUUUGGAGGAGGGGCGGCGCACAGGGAGGACGGCACAGGAAGAAGCUCCCAUGGAGGGCAUCAUCCGGUGAGGGAGGGAGCCCGGGAAGUAGCAAAAAGGAUGCGGGACGACGAGUAGGCGCCGUGGCUGCGCGGAAUCGGGCCGGGAGUGCACUGUUGGAGGUAUGCCCUAGAGGCAAUCAUAGAGAUGAUGAUAUUCCAUUUGUAUCCAUGAUUUAUAUUGUGUUCCUUGAAUAUCCAUUAAAGGUACUUGAAUUGAUUUGCAAUUAUGUGAAUUGUAUGUGAAACUCUUUACUUGUAUGGUUAUUCUAAAGUUGUCCCUAGUUGGAGUUCAUGUGAGGACACACAUGAAUAUUAGACUAGCACAUGUAUUAGUUGAUGACUAUGUUUCACAAGUCAUGGACAUGGAGAUGUUGAACUAAUAAUGUGGGCACAUGUGGAGACAUGUGCUAGGACUGACCCAACACGAGAAGUAGUUCUCUCUUUAAACAACAUAUACGCUUUGUCCUUAGACUUGAGAUUGUUGCAUGUAUUCAAGAUGUGGAUCGACCUACUUAGGGGCUAUCAAACGCUACGCCGUAACAGGGUAGUUAUAAAGGUAUCUUUCGGGUUUGUCAAGAAGCAUGCUAUGAGACAUGAUCAAUCAUGAUAGGAUUUGUCCCUCUCUGAUUGAGAGUGAUAUCUCUGGGUCCCUCGAGUGAUCGGAUCCGAAAAUGCAUGGCCAUGCUAUGUACGGUUAAGAGUUAACCUACAAAGGGAUUCCGAAUCACAGGAUCUAGAAAGAGCGGUCGGCUUGAAGCUAGACCAAAUAUCGUGAGGCAAAGGGAAUAGUAUGUAUAUAAUGUUGUGAUGGUUCGUCUGAUAUGAUCUUCGUGUGCAUAUAGGAGUUGGCACGUCUUGUUAGAGGCCGCUACCGACUAUUGGGCCGAGUAGGAGUACUCGGGCCAUGUCUAUACGUAUCCGAACCCAUAGGGUCACACACUUAAGGGGCUGAAAGCCCAAUUCAGAUGUGAUCCAAGUUGGAUUAGGUUUAGAAGUACUAAUGGGCCUUGGACCCAGAGGCCCGUUAGGAACCUCUAUAAAUAGAGGGGUGGGGGCGCCCUAGGGUUUACACUUUUUUGGCGAAACACAUCUGCCGCGCCUCCCAUGCCCUCACCUGUUGCAACUCACAGAUCUAGCAGUCCGGCUUGCGACGCUUCCUACCUGCACGUGUGGAUACCUUGGAGGUGUUGCGCCUGCAGCACUUGGACGAGCCGCUGACGAGCCACGAUGAGCCGCCGACGAGUCACGACGAGCCGACGACGAGCCGCGGGACGAGGGCGAGCUGCUGAGGAGCUGCUGGACGUCGACGUGAUCGACUACGUACGACUACGCUGAUCAACUUCGCUGCAUCGUAGCGAAUCUACAUCUUCCACACCAGUGCGUCGAGUGGUAAUCCCGUGAUCCUUAUACGGCAGUUUUCCUGGUUUACGCGGUAGAAAUUUUUUAUUUGCGCUAGUGUAGCCUACCUCGUAUUCCUACAGUGGUAUCAGAGCUGUAGCUGUUUAGUUUUAGAUUCGGGAUGUGUGCAUAUGGAGAUAUGCGAGUUUUCAGUUUGAUCUAUGUCCUGGUUUCGUAUUCUUACUGCAAUGGUAGUGUAACGACAUACUCCUACCGGUCGGGUUUCCGCCAUCGGAGUUAAGUGAUACACGUAAUUCCUGUUGCAGUGAGCGAAGAUCAAUGUGAUUGGUCGAAUCGAAAUCCAGGUUCAUACGCCAGGCGCAUGAGAUGUGCAAUAGUAGAUGGGAUCUACUACCAGGGUUGGGAUUUUGCCGUGUGCGUAUGCUUCGGUAAAUCAGCCGUAACUUUUCGGUACGAUCUCGGAUCGGGGCGAAUUUUAUAUGAAAAUUGAUCUAUAGAAAAAGUUACACAUGAAAUUCAAUGGUCUUGCCAUUUUCAGCGAAAUUAGAUUUCCCAAAUUCGGCUUGGAAGAUAGAGUUUCGGGUCUCCGAAGUUUGGAACGUUAGGACGCUUAACUCUGUUUUGCAGGAUGUAUGUAUCUUGUGAUCAGUAUGGCCCCCUUGUGUAUGUGAUGCAUGUCUGUAACUCAUUCGUGACCUGCGUAUCGCGCGUACGGCAACACGGCAUGAGCCAUAUGUGUUGUCACUUUAAUGUAUUUAAUGGUCUGCGUACCAAUUUGUGAUGAUCCAAGCAACUAUGUAAUCUUCAUUACUAGCUUUUUACUAGCUAUUAGGCGUAAUAGCAUGUUCUAGUUCUUGGAGGACUCAUCACCAGGAGGAUGGUGCACAUGGAACAUGGAGAUGGAGAUCACCAUGGUGAACAGGUUCUAUGGAGAUGGAUAUCACCAUAAGAAAACGGGUCGUACUGUGUCACAACUGUGUGAAUGCUAUUCUGUUUAUGUUUUACUUUCUGCAUGCUGUGAUGUUAGAAGUAGAACGAUCCCUCACAAAUUUUAAGUUAGUAUGCCCUCCCAACUAAAACUUGCACCGUCCCAUGUCUUGUACAAUUAGUGGUGGGUCUAUGAAAUUAGGGUGCCACUAGUUUUCCUUGAUUAGACGGGUUUGUGUCGGACACUUACACGCAUAAGGGUUUGUUUGCUUAACAAGGUUAACUUAACGGUUAAGGACUUUGGGGCAUAAAGGUUGGGCGCCGAGACAUGGAGAUGUCACCCAACAACAGGAGUCAUAUGUGAUAUGAUUAGCAAAAGUUGCUUACCGAUCUACCUUGUUUACUAGCGGUGAUGCUAAAGCUCACUAGUAGACUUGUUAGUUGUGGAUCCUGAAUCACUAAGUAUUAAUAGAGGGAUAUUGAUUUUAGUGGGAGUAGAUUCUGUUAAAAUAGUUUAAUGUGAUUUGCUCUAUCAUAGAUACGUUUGUCUUAGUGUAUUUUGCAUUACUUUUGUUGUAGAUUAAAUGGCACCUAGCAGCGCUACACCGUUUGCUUUGCAUUCGGUCCUUGAGAAGGACAAGUUGAAUAGAACAAAUUACUCAGAUUGGAUCCGUAACCUGAGAAUUGUUCUCAGGGCUAAGAAAAAGGAAGAUGUUCUAGACAACCCACUACCACAAGAACCUGCUGAUGAUGUACCUGCUGCUGCUAAGAAUGCUUACAAGAAAGCAUGUGAUGCUAACCUCGAAGUAAGCUGCCUUAUGCUUGCUUGCAUGAAACCCGAGCUACAGAUGCAGUUCGAAACAAACCAUGAGGCGCACGAUAUGAUCGUGGCACUUAGAGACAUGUUCCAAACAUAGGCCAAGACUGAAAGGUUCAAUGUGUCUAAGGCCUUCGUGGAGAGCAAGCUAGCAGAAGGCGCAGCAGUAGGACCACACGUAAUCAAGAUGGUUGGUUACACUCAACGGUUGGAGAAGCUGGGCUUCCCACUGGGCCAAGAGUUGGCCACUGAUUUCAUUCUUUCAUCUCUUCCGCCUAGCUAUGGGAACUUCAUCUCGAACUACCAUAUGCAUGGGACGGAGAAGGGUCUGAAUGAGCUGUGUGGCAUGCUUAAAACAGUACAGGCUGACAUCAAGAAAAGCGCUAGUAGCAGCCAUGUGAUGGCUAUACAGAACAAGCCUAGCUUUAAGAAGAAGGGCAAUUCUUGGAGGAAGAAGGGUAAGGCUGGAACGUCCAAGCCAAACCCUGCGCCCAAGGUUAAAGCUGGACCUGGACCUGCUCCAGACAAAGAGUGCUUUUACUAUCAUGAACUUGGUCACUAGAAAAGAAAUUGCAAGCAGUACCUAGCUUCGUUGAAGAAUGGCGGAAGUAAGAGUACUUCCACCUCAGGUACGCUUGUUAUUAAUGUUAUAGACAACAUAUUUCUCGCUGAUACAAUUAUUAAUUCUUGGGUAUUUGAUACCGGAUCGGUUGCUAAUAUUUGCAAUUCGAUGCAGGGAAUGAUAAGAAGUAGAAGCGUGGAAAGAGGAGAAGUUGAUUUCCGCAUGGGCAAUAAUGCAAGAGUUGCCGCAUUGACCGUCGGGACAAUGAAACUCCACCUCCCGUCAGGAUUUAUUAUGGAGUUGAAUAAUUGUUAUUUUGUUCCUAGUUUAAGUCGAAACAUUUUGUCUCCUUCAUGCUUGAUGAAGGAUGGUUAUUCAUUUGCGAGUGAAAACAAUGGUUGUGUGAUCUCUAAGAAUGAUAUGUUUAUGGCUUUUGCACCCAUUGUGAAUGGAUUAUUUGUUUUAAAUCUUGAUGGUUCACCUAUCUGUAACGUAAGUGCUAAAAGGCCUCGGCCUAAUGAUUUGAGUCCUACCUACUUGUGGCAUCGUCGUUUGGGUCAUAUAAGUGAAAAGCGCAUGAAGAAGCUCCAUUCUGAUGGACUUCUAACUUCGUUUGAUUUUGAAUCAUACGAGACAUGUGAGGCUUGCUUGCUAGGCAAGAUGACCAAGACGCCUUUCACAGGAUUUCCUGAGAGAGCAGUAGACUUGUUGGAACUCGUACAUAGCGAUGUAUGCGGACCAAUGAGCACGACGGCUAGAGGAGGAUUCCGAUACUUCAUAAUUUUCACUGAUGAUUUUAGUAGAUAUGGCUAUGUCUACUUGAUGAGGCACAAGUCUGAAACCUUUGAAAAGUUCAAGGAAUUUCAGAAUGAAGUUGAAAAUCAGCGUGGCAAGAAAAUUAAGGCCUUACGAUCUGAUCGUGGAGGCGAGUAUUUGAGCCACGAGUUUAGUAAUCAUCUAAAGAGUUGCGGAAUUGUUCCAAAACUUACGCCGCCUGGAACACCUUAGAGAAACGGUGUAUCCGAGCGACGUAAUCGAACUUUGUUAGACAUGGUUCGAUCAAUGAUGAGCUAGUCGGACCUACCGUUGUUAUUUUGGGGAUACGCUCUAGAAACAGCAGCUUUCACACUUAAUAGGGUACCAUCUAAAUCCAUAGUUAAGACACCAUAUGAGAUAUGGACUGGAAAGGUUCCCAGUUUAUCUUUUCUAAAGAUUUGGGGAUGUGAAGUGUUUGUCAAGCGACUUCAGUCGGACAAGAUCACACCCAAGUCGAAUAAGUGCAUUUUCGUGGGAUAUCCAAAGGAAACUUUGGGAUAUUAUUUCUACAACUGAACAGAGGGCAAAGUGUUUGUCGCUCGGAAUGGGCUUUUCCUAGAGAAAGAGUUUCUCAAAGGAGAAAAGAGUGGAAAGACAGUGCAUCUUGAAGAAGUUCAAGAUGAGCCGAUUGGGCAAGAAUCAACGAGUGAUGCUAACGUAGCAGAACAAGUUGAGAUACCCAUGGCAAGAGAAGCACCGCCACAACCACGAAGGUCAGCAAGGCUCCGCGAAAUGCGGGAAAUAUUAUUAUUGGACAAUGAUGAGCCUACGGCAUAUGCAGAAGCAAUGAUGGACCCAGACUCCAAAAAAUGGCAGAGUGCCAUGCAAUCCAAAAUAGAGUCCAUGGGAGACAAUCAAGUUUGGAACUUGGUUGACCCGCCUGAUGGUGUUAAAUCCAUAGAGUGCAAGUGGAUCUAUAAGAAGAAAAAGGAUAUGGAUGGAAAUGUUCACAUCUAUAACUCACGACUUGUCGCAAAAGGUUUUCGACAAGUUCAAGGAGUUGACUACGACGAGACUUUCUCGCCCGUAGUGAUGCUUAAGUCCAUUCGGAUUAUUCUAGCUAUAGCUGCAUAUUUCGAUUAUGAGAUAUGGCAGAUGGAUGUCAAGACAGCUUUUCUGAAUGAAAACCUAGCUGAGGAUGUGUCUAUGAUACAACCUGAGGGUUUUGUCGAUCCGAAAAAUGCUGGAAAGGUAUGCAAGCUUCAAAGAUCCAUUUAUGGAUUGAAGCAAGCAUCUAGGAGUUGGAACAUUCGUUUUGAUGAAGUGGUCAAAGGGUUUGACUUCACCAAGAACGAAAAAGAGUCUUGUGUUUACAAGAAGGUUAGUGGGAGCUCUGUAGUAUUUCUAAUCUUAUAUGUAGAUGACAUAUUGCUGAUUGGAAAUAACAUUCCUAUGCUUGAGUCCGUAAAGACUUCACUGAAAAAUAGUUUUUCGAUGAAGGACUUAGGGGAAGCGGCAUAUAUUCUGGGCAUUAAGAUCUAUAGAGAUAGAUCGAGAAGGCUUAUAGGAUUAAGCCAAGAUACUUACAUUGACAAAGUGUUGAAGCGGUUCAGCAUGGAAGAGGCAAAGAAAGGGUUCUUACCUAUGUCACAUGGCAUACAUCUCAGCAAGACUCAGUGUCCUUCGAAUGCUGAUGAGCGGGAACGCAUGAGUAGAGUGCCAUAUGCCUCGGCUAUUGGAUCUAUCAUGUAUGCAAUGAUAAGUACUCGCCCAGAUGUUUCAUAUGCGCUAAGUAUGACAAGCAGACACCAGUCUGAUCCAGGUGAGAGUCACUGGACAACGGUGAAAAACAUUCUUAAGUAGUUGAGAAGGACCAAAGAUAUGUUCCUCGUCUAUGGAGGUGAGGAGGAGCUCGUUGUAACAGGUUACACCGAUGCUAGUUUCCAAACUGAUAGAGAUGAUUCAAAGUCACAAUCAGGAUUUUUGUUCACGCUAAAUGGUGGUGCUGUUAGUUGGAAGAGUUCCAAGCAGGAGAUGGUGCCCGAUUCUACGACAGAAGCCGAGUACAUCGCGGCUUCGGAAGCCACGAAGGAGGGUGUUUGGAUAAGGAAUUCCUUCAUUGAGCUUGGUGUGUUCCCGAAUGCGUCCAGCCCAUUGAAUCUCUACUGUGAUAACAAUGGGGCAAUUGCACAAGCAAAGGAGCCAAGGAACCACCAGAAGAACAAACACAUAAUGCGGAGAUUUCAUCUCAUUCGAGACUUCGUUAACCGGGGUGAGAUCAAGAUAUGCAAAAUACACACGGAUCUGAACAUUUCUGAUCCAUUGACAAAACCACUCCCGCAGGCUAAGCAUGAUGCGCAUGUAAGAGCUAUGGGUAUUAGGUACCUUCUAGAUUGACUCUAGUGCAAGUGGGAGACUGUUGGAGGUAUGCCCUAGAGGCAAUCAUAGAGAUGAUGAUAUUCCAUUUGUAUCCAUGAUUUAUAUUGUGUUCCUUGAAUAUCCAUUAAAGGGCACUUGAAUUGAUUUGCAAUUAUGUGAAUUGUGUGUGAAACUCUUUACUUGUAUGGUUAUUCUAAAGUUGUCCCUAGUCGGAGUUCUUGUGAGGACACACAUGAAUAUUAGACUAGCACAUGUAUUAGUUGAUGACUAUGUUUCACAAGUCAUGGAGAUGUUGAACUAAUAAUGUGGGCACAUGUGGAGACAUGUGCUAGGACUGACCCAACACAAGAUGUAGUUCUCUCUUUAACCAACAUAUACGCUUUGUCCUUAGAUCUGAGAUUGUCGCAAGUAUUCAAGAUGUGGAUCGACC
RNAcentral lists this long non-coding RNA (7932 nucleotides) under Setaria viridis. RNAcentral's name for it is "long non-coding RNA (SVIR_LNC003014)". The record is from RNAcentral. Lineage: Eukaryota; Viridiplantae; Streptophyta; Magnoliopsida; Poales; Poaceae.